This is a long non-coding RNA of Brassica rapa (field mustard), 1761 nucleotides long. RefSeq lists it as uncharacterized. NCBI's taxonomy places the organism in Eukaryota, Viridiplantae, Streptophyta, Magnoliopsida, Brassicales, Brassicaceae. The record is from RefSeq and is a predicted model, not a curated record.
ACAAUAAAACAGGGUAUGCUCUCUCCUCAUUAAGCCACGUCCUCAAGGAGAGUGGGGCAAUUGCCGACACGUGUCAUCGUUUUACACUCUCUGCGGUUUUCCUUCUGUUUGUUCCGGAAAUGAUUGUGUAAGGCCCAAACUUUAGCCCGUUUACAGAGCCGAACGGAAUUAUGGUUGCUCGUCGUCUUCCUCUUUCACGUGUGGCUGCAACGAUGUGAUUCACCAACUGAAAGUGUCGAUUCCAAACUCUGUAACGUCUCCCCGCUCCUUAAAUCAUCUCUUUACUCUGAGUUUUUCUUAAUUAAUUCACUAUGCCCACAUGAGUCAAUCAAUAUACCUUUUCGUUUUCCCAGUAACUGGUAGAAGUUUCACUUAUAAAUGUCUCUCCUUUCUUCGAUGUUGAGUUCAAUUCAAAGUAUUUCAAAAAGCAAAUAUUUUCAUAGCAAGGAUAUGACCACUUCUUACAUGCUCCUUGCUGAUCUGAGAGUCGGGCGAUGCUCCAACACGGCAACACCGCCGAGGUCCGUCUGUUGAGGUUUUGGAAGGCGAGAAACAUCAACAAAGGCCGGGAACUGAUGAGCCUCGAUAUGUCGCUCUUAAACUUAAGAUCCAUUGUCUCAAACUAACUCUCUAACCAAUUACAAUUACAUUUUACCCUUUUGGGGAAUUUGACCGAUUAGAUCUGCACUUUCGUAUGAGCUUACGAGCGAAUAAUGCAAUGUUCAUACGGUCGGGCUAUAUUGGAAAAGAUAUAAACUUUCCAUGAUUUGGUUUUUUUUUGUCACAUUGAAUUGGUGGUCAGGGUUCCAAUGAUGCUUUUUGGUUCCUCCUAUCUUUCUAAAGCUUAACCCAUUUGAUGGCAUUUGAUAAUGGAAUUGGAUUUAACAUCUAAUAUCCUAACGUCUUUUGGCUCAGGAAACAGGCAGUUUUGAGAGAUGGCAUCCAAGUUGCUACAAAUGAAGUCAAAGGCCUGUGAAGCAUCAAAGUUUGUGUCCAAGCACGGCACUACUUACUACAAAUAGUUUCUGGAGAAGAACAGGCAGUAUAUCCAGGAGCCAGCUACUGUUGAGAAAUGCCAAGAGUUGUCUAAGCAGCUUCCCUACACUCGUCUUGCGAGGAACCUGUGAGGUGGGCAAAUAAACCUCCAAAGAUCACAGAGAGUAGAGUUAGCAUCAGUUCAGACAUCAGCUCAGAUAUGUGCUCAAGUUUUCUGUUUCCUCAAAUCAUAAAUUCUUCACCAUUUCGAGGAUAUUUGACCGGAACCAGCGUCCACCAAUUCUAAACUUUGCUAAUUAAAGAUGAGGUGAUAACAACGCACAAGAUGACAUGCCUGGAGCAGGAGAAGUGACUACUAAGCCUUACAAAACUGUGAAAAAAGUUCCCCCUGCAUCAACCGCUGGAUUCCCUGCUUGUGGAGAUACAAAUGAAAUGCAACUUGUGAAGAAGCAAAGUUGCAGGGGGAAAGAGGAAAAAGCCACGUACUUCUAAGCUUUAUAGCUAGCGAGUGGCCAAGUCUACAGGAUUUUAUCUUCUUUAACGCUUGGAAUAAGUUUAGGGUUUCAUUGUUUCCUUGAAUCUUUUCGUUGCUGGUUUUUUUUUACAUUGUGUUUUGGUGGCUUGCUCACUAUGUUUCCUGUUGGAUCAAUUCAUUUGAAAGUAAACUCAGAGUUAGAUAGUUGUCUGCAUGUAUUUUUAAGUUGUUAUAUAUGAACUCGACCUCACUUGCAACCCAGGUUGACAACAGGUGGAUACAGUUAACCA